Molecule: RNA transcript, 4334 nt
Organism: Manis javanica (Malayan pangolin)
Lineage: Eukaryota; Metazoa; Chordata; Mammalia; Pholidota; Manidae
Gene: KIF12
Gene name: kinesin family member 12
Source: RefSeq, a predicted model, not a curated record
GUGUGGUGGAGAAGGGCGGGCAGUGGGGAAAGGAAUGAGACCCGGGGCGGAGCUAAGUCCGUGUGCAAAACAGGACAUGGAGGAACGCGGGUCCCCCGACGGGGACCCCGCGCGCGGCCUGGAGCAUGGGCCAGAGGCGCCAGAGACGCCUAUCCAGGUGGUGCUCAGGGUGCGCCCCAUGAACACGGCCGAGCUGCGUCGGGGGGAACAAAGUGCGCUACACUGCUCAGGGACCCGGACUCUGCAGGUGAGCCCCCCGGGCGGGGGCCCCGACGUGGCGUUCCGCUUCGGCGCCGUGCUGGACGGGGCGCGCACGCAGGAGGACGUGUUCCGGGCCUGCGGCGUGCGGCGCCUGGGCGAGCUGGCGUUGCGCGGCUUCUCCUGCACCGUCUUCGCCUUUGGCCAGACCGGCUCCGGGAAGACCUACACCCUGACCGGGCCUCCUCCCCAGGGGGAGGGGGUCCCUGUACCCCCAAGUCUGGCUGGCAUCAUGCAGAGGACCUUCACCUGGCUGUUAGACCGUGUGCAGCACCUGGGUGCCCCUGUCACCCUCCAUGCCUCCUAUCUUGAGAUCUACAAUGAGCAGGUUCGAGACUUGCUGAGCCCGGGGUCUUCCCAGCCCCUUCCUGUUCGCUGGAACAAGACCCGGGGCUUCUACGUGGAGCAGCUUCGGGUGGUGGAGUUUGGGAGUCUGGGAGCCCUGAUGGAACUUCUGCAAAUGGGGCUUAGCCGUCGAAGGAGCUCAGCUCACACGCUGAACCAGGCCUCCAGCCGAAGCCAUGCCCUGCUCACACUGUACAUUAGCCACCAAACUUUGCAGCAGAUGCCUCAUGUGGACCCCAGAGAAGCUCCUAUUGGUGGGAAGCUGUGCUUUGUAGACCUGGCUGGCAGUGAGAAGGUGGCAGCCACAGGAUCUCGUGGAGAGCUGAUGCUGGAGGCCAACAGCAUCAACCGCAGCCUACUAGCCCUGGGUCACUGCAUCUCCCUGCUGCUGGACCCACAACGGAAGCAGAGCCACAUCCCCUUCCGGGACAGCAAGCUCACCAAGCUACUGGCAGACUCACUGGGGGGGCACGGGGUUACCCUCAUGGUGGCCUGCGUGUCCCCCUCUGCCCAGUGUCUUCCUGAAACUCUCAGCACCCUGCGAUAUGCAAGCCGAGCUCAGCGGGUCACCACUCGGCCACAGGCCCCCAAGGUGCAUGGAAGGAGACACAAGCAGAAGCACAGGCAGGGGAGAUGGUGGGGGAUCAGGCAACGGCUGGAGUCUGAGUUGGCAGCAGGGUCCCCUGUGGCAAAGCAGCCCCAGCAUUUGGAGACGGAGAUGCUGCAGCUCCAGGAGGAGAACCACCACCUGCAGCCCCAACUGAGCCAAAUGGACCCCAAGGCAUCAGGUCUCAGUGGGGCCCGGAUGACCUGGGCCCAGCAGAACCUCUACGGGAUGUUGCAGGAGUUCAUGCUGGACAACGAGAGGCUAAGGAAAGAAAAGAGCCAGCUACAAAAUAGCCGGGACCUGGCCCGAGAUGAGCAGCGCAUCCUGGCCCAGCAGGUCCAGGAGCUGGAGCGGCGCCUCCGCUCUGCCUGCUCCCUCCACCAGCCGGGCCCUGGCCUAGCCCCACCGUGUCCCUGUGUGGUGGUGCCAGCCCCCUCCUGCCAUGCCCUGCCACCCCUCUGCUCCUGCCCCUGCUGCCAGCUCUGCCCCCUGUGCCAAGCACCACUGGUCCGCUGGGCCUGUCCGCAGAGGGAGCUCCACCUGCCCCAGGUGUUUGGUCCUAAAGUCCCAGGUGGCAUGCUCCUGUCUGCCCGGCCCCCACCCUGGGUGCCCCCAUGCAACCCUGUCUCUGCCAAGUGCCCAAGAGAGAGGAGUCACCGUGACUGGACUCAGACCCAAGUCCUGGCGGAGAUGCUCGCCGAGGAAGAGGUGGUACCCUCUGCACCCCCCUUGCCCAUGGGGCCCCCAAACACAUCGCCAGUGCUGAGAGGGCCACCUGCAUGCCCAGAUGGAUACUGGAGCCCAUGGUGUAUGCUGGCAGGGAGGGGAGUAGGUGGGGCUGCAGUUCCAAACCUGGCCCGGAGACUGGAAGCCCUCAGAGACCAAAUCGGCAGCUCCCUGCGACGCGGCCGGAGCCAGCCACCCUCCAGCAAGGACGCACGGAGCCCUAGCUGAGUCCUCCCUCCCUGCUGAGGGCCAGGCGGAACCCCAGGAGACCAUGCUGCCUGUGUCCUGGCGCUGGAGGUAUCAUGAGGCCUGAGUUCCGAUGCCACGGACCUGCUGUGAGCCGUGGACACCAGAGCAUCAACUGCAAAUAAAGGUGGCCAACAAGACUGGCAAGAGACAAGCUGGCUUUGCCCAGGGAGCUCCUAGUGACCAGAUAUUAAAAGGCAAGACUUGUGACUGGGCAUUAGGGGGGUUCAACAGUGGUGACUUUGUGCAAGGCCAGCAUUUGUGGAGGCAGAGCCUGGGCACAUGGGGUAACAACCGGACACCUCAGGCAGCCAGUAUAGAUGCCAGGAGAGGGGACUGUGGUUCAGAGACAACCAUACAAGUUCAAGUCCCAGCAUCAUCAGUUUCCAUGUAUGAUCAUGGGCAAGGGAUUUAAUGCUCUAAGCCUGAGUCACCUCAUCUUCAGAAUGGAUAUAAUAAUAGUACUCCCUCCUGGGAUGGUCAUGGGGAUUAAACCCAUUGAUAAGUGGAAUGAGUAUAACAUAAGGCUUUGCCUGUUGCCGACAGUUCAGCCAAAGGCAGUUUUUAGUCAAUAUGACAUUUUGAUGGAGUUGACAAUCUGGGUUCAAAAAAAAAAAUUCAUUCAACAAAUACUUACAAGAACCUACUUUAGGCCACCAUUGAACAAAGCAGAAGAAUCCCUACCCUCACAGAACACAAACAAAAAAACCAAGAAAAUGGACAAAGUACAUGGCAAGUCGGAUAGUGGUAAAUUCUAUGGAGGAAAAUGUAGCAGGGAGGUCCGUCUGCUGGGGCAAGUGCCCUCUAAAUAGGGGGGCCAGGAAGGGUGCUGUAGAGGUGAUACUCAUACAGAGACCCAAAGGAGGGGAGGAGGGUGAGCCUGAUUAAUGCCAUUAAGUCACUUCCGUUUACUCCAGUUAAUUUUGAUGCCACAUCAGCUUGAGUGGUUCAGCAGGUUUGGGCCUAGGAGCCUCCCCUCCCCAGAGCCCUUAUCUCCCUCAUGUCUGGUGGUCCUGCUUGCUGGGAGGCCUCCAGCCUCAGGCAGGGAGGCGCCUGGCUCCAAGCGUGAGACCCUGUCUUAGCUGCUUUGGGAGAAUGGACAGGGACCACCCAGGGGGACCCUAGCUGUUGCCGGUUCAUUCCUGUUUGGACAACCCCUUCUCCCGCUGGAGCCAGCUACUAUUUUCCAGUUUCCUAGUUCCAGCUCAGCAAAAUCCCCACUUACUUUCCCAGAGAUAGCCAGAGGACUCUAGGGAUUAAGUCUCCACUGCCCCCACCUCAAGCCAUGUGUGGCCAUCUUCCAGUCAGCAUCCUCGUUCUGGAAUCCCUAAACCCUGGAGGAAUUCCACAGAACCCCAGUAACAUACUAACACUCUUUAAAUCCAGAGGUCCGUACUGAGAAACUUAGGGAUUCCAGAGGGCACUUCUGCAACCCUGAAAGCUAUAGGCCUUCCCAGAAGGCUGGAAUUUGGGGGCAGUUCUUGGCUCCAUGAAAUAGGAGAUUACUUCUCCAGAGCUGUCAAACUUAGAAGAAGGUCUCUGGUGUGUUAGAAUGGGGCACAGCUCUAGGAAACCCUGAAGCACAGUAGGGAUUUCCUGGAGUUCCAAAUCUGUGAAAGAUCUUAAAAUUUUAAAACAUUUUGAUGAAGUUGGGCGGGAUUCUCUGGAAUCUUUGGCUAGGGGUAGGAACGUUUACCAGAGCUUGGAAGGCCAUCCCUGAGUUUGUAGAAUUCUGGCAGAUCGAGAGAUCAACUUCGAUGUCCGGAACCUUGGUUGGGUUCUCCAGAUCCUUGGAAACCCUAACUCACAGCCAGUGUCGAAUGGGGAUCAUGGCUGGAAGCAUUACUGUAGAACAACAGUAGCUUUGGGAAAACCACUCCUGUGGACAACUGUGUUUAAAAGGCUAUGAGGUCUCAUCUGGGUGACCAACCCCCAGUUAGACCCCCAAGAGGCAGAGACAACAGGCAAGUUUGUGAAGCCCCUCCUGCCAAGAACAUCCUGCCACUGCCUAUCUGCCCCAGCCACACCUGCCCUCUCUCACAUCCCAGGUGGGCCCUGCUUUCUCUCACCUGGUCUUUCUUCUCUUUGUCUAAUACGCAUUGCCCCAAAUUAAUAUUUAUUCAAUUUUGUACACAAAAGGUUGGUUUCUGAA